This 500-nucleotide ribosomal RNA is filed under the name uncultured bacterium. Its description in RNAcentral is "partial 16S ribosomal RNA". It matches the Rfam family "Bacterial small subunit ribosomal RNA", at positions 29 to 523 of the family's 1533-position model. The record is from RNAcentral.
AUUGAACGCUGGCGGCAGGCUUAACACAUGCAAGUCGAGCGGGGGAAGGUAGCUUGCUACCGGACCUAGCGGCGGACGGGUGAGUAAUGCCUAGGAAUCUGCCUAUUAGUGGGGGACAACAUCUCGAAAGAUAGGCUAAUACCGCAUACGAUCUACGAAUGAAAGCGGGGGACCGCAAGGCCUCGCACUGUUGGAGCGGCCGAUGUCGGAUUAGCUAGUUGGCGGGGUAAAAGCCCACCAAGGCGACGAUCCGUAGCUGGUCUGAGAGGACGACCAGCCACACUGGAACUGAGACACGGUCCAGACUCCUACGGGAGGCAGCAGUGGGGAAUUUUGGACAAUGGGGGCAACCCUGAUCCAGCCAUGCCGCGUGAGUGAAGAAGGCCUUCGGGUUGUAAAGCUCUUUCGGCGGGGACGAAACGGUUCGUGACAACACCACGGACUAAUGACGGUACUCGCAGAAGAAGCACCGGCUAACUACGUGCCAGCCGCCGCCGUAA